Molecule: long non-coding RNA, 1000 nt
Organism: Malus domestica (apple)
Lineage: Eukaryota; Viridiplantae; Streptophyta; Magnoliopsida; Rosales; Rosaceae
Source: RefSeq, a predicted model, not a curated record
GAGGGAGAGAAGAAGAGAGAGUGACACAGUUGUGGUGGUGGUCUGGUGAUGGCCUUUCUCUGGGGCUCGGCGUCUCUGUAAACACAGAGAAGAAAAGAUGGUGAGCGUUAGGAGAGAAGGGAGAGUUUGAGGGAAAAGAUGGCCGUUCUCUGGGUCAGUCGAAGCGGGCCAGAAAAGAUCCGACACUUGUGUUUAAAGAGGAGGAUGAAGGGGACGGAGGAGGAAGAAGGCGGCGGAGGAGGACGAAGGGGCGUUGGGGAGAAAGCACGGUUUCUGGGGAAAAAAGGAAGAAAAAGUGAAAAUUAUACUUCCACUCCCAUGCAUGCAUCCGAGUGAAAUGGAAUAUUACACUAUGGCGAAGAAUUAUCCUUACUGACCGUACCUGAUGGAAAUGGAACACAUAUCACAUCUGAUUUUAGACUGAGAUAUUUUUCAAUGUACAGGAAAAUAUAUAAUUUGGUAUUUUCAACACUUUUAUUAUAAUAUUUAACGUAUCAGAUCGUAUUCUAGUCAUCCUUAAAAAUUUCCGUUAGAUAGUAAAAUAUGUCCAUUUUGGUCCGUACGAUAUGGCACAAUCGUUGUCUGGUGAGCACAAGUUACUCAAGAUAAUCCCAGUUAAUUAGUGCAUAAAUAUCUCCAUGAUUGUCCGGUAAAUGCUCUAAGAAAUCAGUCAAAAGAUUAGGCUUUGUCCGGUCCAGGAACAACAAUGACGAUUUAAUAUUUAUAUUAAGUUCUGCAUUUAGUUAUGGCUGACUUAUUGUGUGUUUACGACUAGAUGCGGUUUGUUUGAUGGUGGUGCUCAUUCAUGUGGUGGCCGUAGUACUCACGAUUCAAGAAUUAUGAAUCCGUUUAGGGUUUAGAUUGUCUGGCUUGGCAAGAAAUUGAGCUUAAAGCGACAUGAGUUUUUGGUUGUGUUUAUGUUAAAGUUUUUUUCUCGUAAAGUUCUUGUUUUUGUUUGUUCGCUAUAUUUUAUGCGUGUUUGAUAUACUUUUUUCUCUUU